RNAcentral lists this ribosomal RNA (523 nucleotides) under Bacillus sp. MN03-08. Its description in RNAcentral is "bacterial SSU rRNA". It matches the Rfam family "Bacterial small subunit ribosomal RNA", at positions 393 to 906 of the family's 1533-position model. The record is from RNAcentral. Lineage: Bacteria; Bacillati; Bacillota; Bacilli; Caryophanales; Bacillaceae.
CACGCCGCGUGAGUGAUGAAGGUUUUCGGAUCGUAAAGCUCUGUUGUUAGGGAAGAACAAGUAUCUGUUGAAUAAGCAGGUACCUUGACGGUACCUAACCAGAAAGCCACGGCUAACUACGUGCCAGCAGCCGCGGUAAUACGUAGGUGGCAAGCGUUGUCCGGAAUUAUUGGGCGUAAAGCGCGCGCAGGCGGUUCCUUAAGUCUGAUGUGAAAGCCCACGGCUCAACCGUGGAGGGUCAUUGGAAACUGGGGAACUUGAGUGCAGAAGAGGAGAGCGGAAUUCCACGUGUAGCGGUGAAAUGCGUAGAGAUGUGGAGGAACACCAGUGGCGAAGGCGGCUCUCUGGUCUGUAACUGACGCUGAGGCGCGAAAGCGUGGGGAGCGAACAGGAUUAGAUACCCUGGUAGUCCACGCCGUAAACGAUGAGUGCUAAGUGUUAGAGGGUUUCCGCCCUUUAGUGCUGCAGCAAACGCAUUAAGCACUCCGCCUGGGGAGUACGGUCGCAAGACUGAAACUCAAAG